UCUAAUUACGCACUUUUUUUUCGGAAAAGGUGUAAUGAACGUUGAGACGGGUAGGAAGGUCGCGACAGUGUUGCUUUGAAGAGUUUUGAGCGUGAGCUCGCUCGGAGCCGCUGUUGGUGCAGAUCUUGGUGGUAGUAGCAAAUAUUCAAGUGAGAACCUUGAAGGCUGAAGUGGAGCAAGGUUCCAUGUGAACAGCAGUUGGACAUGGGUCAGUCGAUCCUAAGAAAACGGCGAAAGCUUGUUCGAAUUUGCGACAUGAAUUGUAAGACUGAAUAAUUAUUUGUGUGUGUGUUGUGGUGGAGGCGAUUGUGUCGUCACCAGUUGUUGUUGUGUGCAGUUGUCGUAUGUUUUCGAAAGGGAAUCCGGUUGAUAUUCCGGAACCGAGUAACGGAGACAAAGAGUAGCGCUUUAAUCUCUCUGUGGGGUUGGCGUUCAACUCAAUCGCGCGGUAACGCAAGCGAACUCGGAAAAUGACCGUCGUGAGUUUCGAAAAGAGUUUUCUUUUCUUUUUAAGGGACGCAUUCCCUGGAACCGGGUUGUCCGGAGAUAGGGAUUC
This 556-nucleotide ribosomal RNA is filed under the name Trichinella spiralis. RNAcentral describes it as "partial large subunit ribosomal RNA". It matches the Rfam family "Eukaryotic large subunit ribosomal RNA", at positions 1337 to 1750 of the family's 3401-position model. The record is from RNAcentral. Lineage: Eukaryota; Metazoa; Nematoda; Enoplea; Trichinellida; Trichinellidae.